GACGAACGCUGGCGGCGUGCUUAACACAUGCAAGUCGAACGGUGAAGCGCCUUCCUUUUUGGUGGGUGUGGAUGAGUGGCGAACGGGUGAGUAACACGUGAGUAACCUGCCCCCUUCUUCUGGAUAACCGCAUGAAAGUGUGGCUAAUACGGGAUAUUCUGGGUCUGUCGCAUGAUGGGUCUGGGAAAGAUAUUGUUUCGGUGGGGGAUGGGCUCGCGGCCUAUCAGCUUGUUGGUGGGGUGAUGGCCUACCAAGGCGGUGACGGGUAGCCGGCCUGUGGGGGUGGACGGUCACACUGGGACUGAGACACGGCCCAGACUCCUACGGGAGGCAGCAGGGGGGAAUAUUGCACAAUGGGCGCAAGCCUGAUGCAGCGACGCCGCGUGAGGGAUGGAGGCCGUCGGGUUGUGAACCUCUUUCGCCAGUGAAGCAGGCCUGCCUCGUUUGUGGGUGGGUUGACGGUAGCUGGAUAAGAAGCGCCGGCUAACUACGU
This 493-nucleotide ribosomal RNA is filed under the name uncultured bacterium. RNAcentral describes it as "partial 16S ribosomal RNA". It matches the Rfam family "Bacterial small subunit ribosomal RNA", at positions 28 to 506 of the family's 1533-position model. The record is from RNAcentral.